This is a non-coding RNA of Hordeum vulgare subsp. vulgare (domesticated barley), 119 nucleotides long. NCBI's taxonomy places the organism in Eukaryota, Viridiplantae, Streptophyta, Magnoliopsida, Poales, Poaceae. The record is from Rfam.
GGAUGCGAUCAUACUAGCACUAAAGAACCAGAUCCCAUCAGAACUCCGAAAUUAAGCAUGCUUGGUCGAUAGUAGUAAUUGGCUAGGUGACCUCCUCAGAAGUCUUCGUGUUGCAUUCC